AGAGUUUGAUCAUGGCUCAGAACGAACGCUGGCGGCAUGCCUAACACAUGCAAGUCGAACGAGACCUUCGGGUCUAGUGGCGCACGGGUGCGUAACGCGUGGGAAUCUGCCCUUGGGUUCGGAAUAACAGUGAGAAAUUACUGCUAAUACCGGAUGAUGUCUUCGGACCAAAGAUUUAUUGCCCAGGGAUGAGCCCGCGUAGGAUUAGCUAGUUGGUGGGGUAAUGGCCUACCAAGGCGACGAUCCUUAGCUGGUCUGAGAGGAUGAUCAGCCACACUGGGACUGAGACACGGCCCAGACUCCUACGGGAGGCAGCAGUGGGGAAUAUUGGACAAUGGGCGAAAGCCUGAUCCAGCAAUGGCCGCGUGAGUGAUGAAGGCCUUAGGGUUGUAAAGCUCUUUUACCAGGGAUGAUAAUGACAGUACCUGGAGAAUAAGCUCCGGCUAACUCCGUGCCAGCAGCCGCGGUAAUACGGAGGGAGCUAGCGUUGUUCGGAAUUACUGGGCGUAAAGCGCGCGUAGGCGGUUACUCAAGUCAGAGGUGAAAGCCCGGGGCUCAACCCCGGAACUGCCUUUGAAACUAGGUGACUAGAAUCUUGGAGAGGUCAGUGGAAUUCCGAGUGUAGAGGUGAAAUUCGUAGAUAUUCGGAAGAACACCAGUGGCGAAGGCGACUGACUGGACAAGUAUUGACGCU
RNAcentral lists this ribosomal RNA (694 nucleotides) under uncultured bacterium. Its description in RNAcentral is "bacterial SSU rRNA". It matches the Rfam family "Bacterial small subunit ribosomal RNA", at positions 8 to 747 of the family's 1533-position model. The record is from RNAcentral.